AUGUGUAAUCUAUGAAAAGCUACUUUAGCUAGACUAAAACUUCAUGAAAAUCUAGCGGUUUUGAGAGCAGAUUCAUGUGAAAGCAGUUUCACAGUACAAGUUGCAUCCAAAUAGGCGGCUACAAAUAACCAUUACUAAGGAAGAGAUAUGGAUAGGGUCUUUUGCAUACAUACCCUUGCAAUAUAUCCACAAUUGCAAAUACCCCAGCAAAGUUGAUAUUUAUCCGCAUGCCAUGGAAAGCCUCCGUCCACCUGCUAGGGUACCUAGGCAAAACCAAUGGCAUCUAUGCAAAAGGAAUUUUGCAUAGACAAUCCUGGGAGGGCACGCAUGGAAAUAAGUAAAGUAUUUUAGGGGUACACAUGCUAAAAGAUUUGUAGCGGUAAUAUAUAUGCAAAAAAUGCUAAGAUAAAUUGCUAUAAUAGCACGUCAAGAGCGGGAGCAGGGGCCAGCUAUUUUACCUUUGUGAUACCAAUAAAUUUGGUGCACAGGAGGACAUUCCUAGAGAAUGUCCUGAAACUUUGGAGUUUUAUUAUACAUAAUUUUAUUAUAAAAUUUGAAACCUAGAGGUGAAAUUAAAAAAAUAGCAACAUGUGCCUCAUAUCCCUUUUGUUUCCUUCCUAUUUUCAUUAUUCACAAAAUUUGGCAGCAAGGUACAUCCAAUUCAUGCAUAAUAAAACUCAAGAAUCCAAAUCUUCAUUAACUAAAACAGUUGCUGACUCAGAUCCUUUCCAAAACCUUCAUGGUAGGCAUUCUUGCCUCGCACAUCUCUUUCUACAUAUAAGCUGACUGAGUUAAACUUUGCACAACUAACACAAUAAUUUCUGGAGUCAAUCUUCCAUAUAUGCAUGAGCUUUCAAAAAUCUAUGCAUUAUAUUUUUGCAGAUAAAACAGAAGUCUGAGAAUGCUUGUACCUGGGAAGUGAAGUGUCUACCACGAAAAUACACACGCCAAUAUCUCCAAGGAAGCUGCUCCCCCAGUAAACACCUGUCUGAGACUCUCAACCAAAUUCAUAGUAAAUAAAGAAAUGAGAGAUCAGUUGAUAAACAAUGAGAAAAGCAAAUUAUUAAAGCCAAUCAUCUAUAUCAUUUGAAUACACGUGAGUUAUUUUCCCAAAAGAACUCUUAGUUAGGAAGAAAACUCAAUAUCAAGCACAUCUAGAUAUAGAUGAACAAAAAGAGGCAUUUGCAGCAAGUUAUGAAGAUAGAUAAUGCAUAUUUAGGAUCUUCAUUAAGUAUUUCAGCUGUAUAUUCAAAGUUCACUUACAAUGAUUUAAACAAAAACAAAAAAGGUCGUCGUACCAACUAUAUCUUUUUAUCAGGUAAAGCACGCACAAUAUAUCACUACCAUCAAUAUUGAAAAUCACAAUUAUUACAUUACCAAUUACAAGCCUCUCCAAGUAAACAAAGCACCAACUGUUAAAAAAAAACAAGGCUAAAUUACAUAAAACCUCCUUGUCAAUACCCCUUUUUUCACUUCCCCUCCUGUCAUUUAAAAACCUACACUUUGCCUCCUUAUAAAAUAAAAAAUAUUCACAAGGGAGUACGGUAUUAACUGUGACGACAAAAUGAUCAUUUUGCUCUCACCAUCUUCGUCUCUUCCCCAUUUUUGCUCAUCCGCCGCCUUUCCUCUUCCAUUUUUUGCACCUCAAUCCACCACAAUUCGUCUCCAUUUUCUUCUUCACCUUCUUCCCUUCUCCUCCUACACCCUCGUCACCCCUCGAUUUCGGCGACAGUAAGGAGGAAAUUGAGGUGGGCAUGAAUGGAGAGGUGGAAAAGGGCGCGGGCGAAGGCGAUGCGGCGGAGAAGGGCGAGGGGGUGUUUGUGGGCGCAAACAGAGAUAUGGGCAAGGGCGAGGCAGCGGAGGAGUGCGAGGCGGCCAGGCGGAGGAGGGUGAGGCAACAGGAGAGGAGGCUGAGGGUAUUUUUGGUAUAAAAAAUAUAAUAAUAUUUUAUAAACGGAACCCUAACAGAGCACUAACGGCAGGGGAUGAAGUGAAUAUUUUUCAUUUUACAAGAGGGGAAAAUGUAGGUUUUUAAAUGACAGGAGGGGAAAGUGAAAAAGCGGGUAUUGACAGGGGGGUUUUCUGUAAUUUAGCCAAAAAACAAAGUAGGACGAAGAAGAUGUUUAUUAGUAAUAUCCAAACAAGAAAGUUAAGACUGGAUAUCCACUCACAAAUCUACAUUUCCUGCUUAAUCUUGACUGUCAAAAGAUAAGCCAAGACAAAUAUUAUAGCAGGAAACAGCCCUAGGAAGGUCAGUGCUGGCAUCAAAUCUACCUGAUACCAAUCAACUGCAACAAAUAAAAUGCUAAUUAUCAUGUUACAACUGGGAAGAGCACACUAUGUUUGAUUCCCUUCGUCCGGUUUAGCAUUAAAAUCUGUGUGGUUUUUCUCAUUUCCAUCACUGUAAUUUCGUUCCUUUUUGUCAAGCCUUGGGUCAUCAGCUUUUUGCUGCAACUGACCAAGUUUUUCCUGCAAAGUCGAAAACCAAUUAUACGUUUCAUGAAAUAUAUCAUCAUCUACAAACCCAAAAAAGUUAUCAGAACCAAACUGAACCAAACUGCUGGUCAAACCAUUCAAACCGCAAUCUCUGUGUGAACUUGGUCUGGUUGAAUAAAAAACACAAAUUAGGGGAAAAAAACUGCGCAAGCCACUAUCGAACAGGGAGUUUCUAAGUGAGCCGUGAAAACCAGCUUGGUUGAACUGGUUUUCUUUACAAACUUUCUAUUAUUUCAUUAUUUAUUUAUGCUUUGAAAGUGUAGAGCUAUAACUAAAGUUCAUUCAAUUGUUCUUCACUACUAAAUCCACUUUAAGACCAUGUUUGGAUGUCAGAAUAAGAUACUCAAAGAUAAUUUAUUCAGUAUGAAGAUUUUCGUGUGUGAUUAGAAGCUAGGAGUUUGAGUUUUGCUCCUUCAAAUGUCCUAACAUCCAUGAUUGGUAGGAUAGCAUAUUUCACCUGGGAGGUGAUUUAUGUUAUUCUGAAAAGAUGACUUGAAAACUGAAUAUGAUAUCCAUUCAAGACAUUUGAUCACAUUCUUCAUCUACCAAAUACGACAUGCUUUUGGAGUAAAGCAGAUGUUCAAUGCAUUCCAAACAAGGCCUAAAUGUACAAUCAAUCAUAUAUUUAUAUCUUCCCUAAUACUAAAACAUUUACCUAUACGAUCUAAGACAUGAGAACCAUAUUUUGAUUUAUAUAAAAACAGUUGAUUCAACCAUUAAAUCAGUGGUUACAAUGGUUGAACCUUAGAUAUUCAUCUCCAUGAUUUGAUGUUCAGUUUGGUUCUAACAACACAGCUCUAAAUUAAUGUUCACCACCUUAAGAGAGGCGUUCUGGGAAAGAAGAUCCUCGUACUCCUUCCUGAGCCGGUUUACUUCUGCUCUAAGUGAAGCAUUUUCCUCCUUUAAAGACUCGGCACGUUGACCAAGCUCUUCACAUUCAGCCUGAAGAAAAAUAAAACAACCAGUAAUUAGUUGAAGUCCUUAUCAGUUGGAAAUUAACUAGAAGUACCUAAGCGCCGAUCAGGCCUUGCCUCUAGAGCAGCUUUUCUAUACUAGGAAGAAACAGCUUAGAGACCCAGAAGCUUGGCUUCCAAAAAGCCUAGAGUUUUUUCUGGUGUGGAAAGUUACGAGCUUUUGGGUCUCGAAAGCAGGAGCUUAAUUUUGAAGCUUCUAUUCAUGCUGCAGCAGAAGCUGCUAAUGAAAAAACUAUGCUGCUUCAAAGAGCCUAAUCAAGCAGAAUUCUGCAAAAUCACCAGCGGGCCCAAAAAAUCCCUAAAGAGGACUUAGAAACUAAUUGCGAGUUAUCACCUGCUUGCGCAACCUAGAUCUCCGAGCAGAUUCCCUGUUAGACUGCUUGCGUCUCUGCUUUUUUAAUUCUCUUUCAUCCUGAUUUACAUAAAAAUUGUUGGUAAAACUGUUUAGGACCUUAGAAGCUUUGUCUAAUAAUGCACAUACCAAAAGUAUAAGCCAUGACUGAUUUUCGACAUCAAAAUUAGAUAGACUUGGAUGCUCCGGAACAUAUUGAAGUGUCCAGCCAAAAAAUCUCCCUGCAAUAACUAGUAUGCUCAUCCUCUUCUUUUUUCCCUUUUCCUCUUCUAUAUUUCCCUCCUCUAAUUUUCUCACUUAUAUGAAACCAGAACUAAAUUAUUAAUGGCAGUAUGAUCAGUACUUUUCAUUUUAUAUCAAGAAUAUAUUGUCCAGAUAUUCCAGACAAUGUUCUUAGUCUGUUCCGUAGUGUUUCUACUACAGAGUCAAACCAGAACUAAAAAUAUAAAGUAGAUCAAUUAGGCAAAUACCGCUUUGCACCAAAUUUCAAACAAAAACCAACAAAAUUGCAUGAAAGCAAGCCAAAACUAAUUCCAGAUAAAACUAUACCACCAUAAUAGUUCGGUGAGAGAGAGAGAGAGAGAGAUAGAGAGACAGAGGAAGAAGAAGAAGAAGAAGAAGCAAUUCCAGAAUGGGGGCUAAGAAGGAAGCCAUACCCACUGCUCUGCUGGAAGCAAAGCUCCAGGGAUUGCUGUGGAAGGUACCUUGCCAGGAAUUGCAGGAAUAGCUGAUGAGCUUGGAGUGCUCCAGUAGUCCAUUCCUAUAUUUAAAUUUGUGGUGGGGCUGACAACCCCUCCAAUUGCACCGCUUGCUGGCAUAGGCAUGAUAGAUAUCGCUGGAUUCAACUUUGAUUGUGACGCCGUGCGACUUAUACCAUUGUGAGAACCAUGUGCGACAUUGCCACUCUGAGAGGCCUCUGCUGCCAUGUGUAUAAAAGACAAGCUUAGGAAAGAUAUUUAAAAACUUGGACCACCCUAAACUAUUAUACUUAUGACAAAUGGUUACCUGAUUUUUCAGAAGUAACAAUAUAUAUAGAGAGAGAGCUACUUGAACGACCUAACCCUACUAAUCUCAAUUUUCUGUAACAACCGCAAGCACAUAACUGUGAUGUAACUUUCACCAGUUUUGGCCUUAAUUCUCUUCUUUUGAAUGCAAAUAUGAGUUUCGGGGCAUAAGUCAAUGUAACUGAUGGCGGUUAAGAAAAAUAGACAGAAAAAGGGUAAGUAGUUGACCAAAUGAGAAGAUUGCUUAAGCAGUUUUCUUUUCUUUUUUUUUAUUUUAUUGAACUCCUAAAUCUUGGAAGACAAUCUGUAAAAGCACGAUAGUCCAGGGAGAUUUGCCGCAUUUAUUUUAUCUUAGAUAUUUAUUCAUGACCAAUUAGAGAGUUCUAGCAUGACUACCUCCCAAAGAUUCUUGUCCACCACUAGUCUUUGCCUGUGAAUCCUGAAGAAGUAAAGAUUAUAUAAAACGUCAUAUCAGAUUCGAGUGAAGAAGCAUUGUGAUAACUAGUUUAUCUUUAGAUAGCGGCUCUAGGAGUAGACAAGUUGUUUCGAAAACUAGAUGAAAAAAAUACUUUCCUUAUUCUUUGCCACCCUCUCUAAGGCUCAAAUUUACCACUUUGAAUUAAAAAAGUAGCAUAAAUGAACAGAAAGAGAACACAAGACCAUCAAAAGACGCUCGUUCAGAAAACAAUAUGAUGAAGGUAAAUUAGCCUAGGCCUUUCUGCCAUUUGUCUAACUAAUGCAAAGUGGACUACUACUGGAGCUCACAUUCUGAGAGUUUGCAUCACUUCCUUCACUUGAACUUUCAGUUUCACUUUCACCACUGCAAAAUGCCAAAAACAGCAUUCUUUAGGAGGCCAAAUGAAUAAUCCAAUGUUAUGAAAACUACCUACUUGUUACAAACCUUUGAGAAAAGGCUCCGUUUGCUGAUGCCCCUGAUGUUUUACCUAUCUCGUUGUUGUUCUUUCCCAUAAUCAUACUCAAGCUACCUAAACUUCCUUUGGACCUUUUGAGGGGACUUCUUUCCUUACCUUCAGAUGACUUAUCAUCCACUUCCGAACCACCAGCAGUGGCUCCCUGACAGAUGCAAUGUAUUGGAAUCAGUAUUCUUGAUGCCAAAUGCAGUAACAGUUGAGGUAAAGAAUGUGUAACUUACAACACCAUCAGCAUUUCCAUUUGGAGAAGGCAUAGCAUAAGGGCUGAAUGGAAUUGAACCCUGACCAUUUGAUUGCAAUAGAGAAAAAACAAAUUAGGAUGCUCAAACUUUGAAUAACAAAGACAAGUAAAUAUGUACAAAAUGAAGGACUCAGAUAAACAUAAUUAAGAAGAGCAGGCAAAACUUGCAGACUUUGGCUGAUAAUCUACCUGAACUUCGAAAAUUUCUGUGAUUUCUCUACCUAACUUCAAAAAGUUAUUUUCAUUUCCAAAAAUUCUUUCAGAGUUAUGUGAGCACUUACCGCAUCCAAAAAGUUGUCAAAUAUUUUAUUAGAUAACAGAAAAUUCCGUCAAAAAAAAGAAUCAGUAUAUUUUGGGAAAGAGAUACUCAAAUAAAAAUAAUCGAUAGUUUAGGAAGACAAAUAAAAAUUUUAAAGUUCAGCUACCCAUUUUAAAAUGCGCUGACAGUAAAGUAAGAUAUGCCUGUUUCAGCCUUUGCAAAAAGAAUAUACCGGAGGCAUGGAAGCAUGAGCAUAUAACCCUCCUGGUGGAUACAUGACAUAUGGUGUUGGCGGAGUCCCAUAAGGCAUAAUGGGCUGAAACAUAAAAAGGAAAAUAUAACAUCUGCAAUAAAAGCACUAAUGGAGAAUUCCAGGUGGUCCACACCCUCUGCUAAUGACCUAUUCACUUAGUGUUCAUCCCUAUAUUCCCAUACUCGAACACCUAGUUUAAUCCGAAUGCUUAAGAGGGAAAGACAGUCUAGUAUAUAGCAAAGGGUUGCAACCACAUAAAUAACACAUGUAUCAGGUAGCGAGACACAGUAAGUUCCAUUUCCUUCUUUCAGCUUUCAUCACAAUAUUAACUAGCUCUAGUUUAAAAAACAAAAAAAGUUUCAAACUUUUAUUUCUAAUUUGACAACUUCAUACUGUCAUCUAACCUUCAAGUGCGCUAUCGCAUUAAAAUUCCAAGAACCGAAAAACAAACAAAAAAAAAGAACUCUCCACUUUGCAAGUCCCAACAACGGGGUAGUAAAGUGAAAACAAGCCGCCAAGACAUCUACUCUUAUAGUGCGAUCACAUCCCACCAAAAUAAAGUUACAAGAAAAUGCCCCCCUUGUACAAUGUUUUUGAAUAUUAAAUAAUCUAAUUUAGGAGACAAUUAUUGUAUGCCUAACUGUUAAGAUUCAGUCUCUAUGACAAGUUGGUGCAUGUUUGGCCCAGUUUCUUUUUAGCAAAAAAAGUGCCAGUUGACUAAAGUCACUCGGAUAAGUAGUAGCUUUUUCAUUGAAGUACUCCAAACAUCCUAAUGCAGCUAAAUUUAGAAAACUUUAAAUCGAAGCUUCCGCCUUUUGGUCCGCUAAGCUUAUUUUGGUCUUCCACAGGACCCAAAAGCUCUGCCAAAUGUCUGGCUUCUACUUCUCAAAUAGACAUGCAAAGUAAAGAAGCCCCACCGACCAUGUACUCAAAAUCGGCGGAAAAAGCCACUCGCCCUAGAUUACACCUGGCCUUACCCAGAUUUAAGAUGACAUACCAGAAAAAUCCAAAUUACAUAACAAUUCAACACAGAAAUCGAAAACUUAAACAGUACCUGAGCUCCCCACAUGUAAGGAUGCGCCUGGGGACUUGAUGUGUGAAAGAACCCAGGCGGAGGAAUCGGCGAAUACGCCUAUCGAAAGAAAAAAGCUAGAAAGGUCAUAACCUCACUUGAACAUGCAAUCACCCAACACAAAUUGAGAAGAGGAAACUCAAGAACUACACACUUCACCAGCUAAAGACAAAGCUUACCCACCUGAAAUCCUGACCAAUCAGGGUAUACUGGUGUGGCCGGUGCCGAAGUAGUCGGCGGCGGCUGUUCCUGAACAAUAACAACCAAAAAUUUGCAUAAACAAUUUCUCGUUUUACUAUUCUAAUGAGGAGAUCAACAGCUCAAUCACGCUAAAGCCGAAUCAAAAGGAGCAGAUCGAGCACCUGCGCCGCCGAUGCCUUCGGCGCCUUGGGCGGAGCAUCGGCUUCGCCGCUCCCCAUGAAUGGGGUUGGUUUCAGAAACCCUAAGCGAUCACUCCAUGCUCCGCAGUAAGUAAAACCCAAAUUACGCCCAAAACUGAUAGCCUCGCCUUGGGAUCUCAACUCGAAACCCUAAAUCUCACGAAAACCCUACAAAUCGCGAUCAUGGCAUCUUCGACACCAAAACCGAUCGGAAUCGAGAUCGGGAGAGAGGGAGAUCGACGCGUACCGAUUGGAGACGGAGGUCCGCGGCGGAGGCGGCGGAGAACAGAGGCGAGGGCGAUGAGAUCCGAUCCGAGAGGUGGAUUUGGGCGAAUUCGACGGAGCAAAAUCAAAAAUGGGAGAAGAGAGAGAGAGAGAGAGAGAGAGAGAGAGAGAGAGAGGGGGGGUGGACGAUGAGGGCAAAAUGGUAAUAAUAUUUUAAUAAUUUUUAUAUGAACUUAUGUUUAUUGCUUAUAGUUUAAAAAUUAAAAAAAAAAAUUCAAAUAUCAUCUAUUUAGUUUUACACUUUAUCACUUUAGUACCAUUUGAUUUAAAGUAUAUCAAUUUAGUGUCCAGUGAUUUUAUUUUUAUCUUUUUAUUAUCGAUUUUACUAAAUUUUUUCGUUAAAUCAGUGACAAAGUUAAAACUAAAGAUAUUAAAAUAAAUAUUCGAUAAAUCUAGAUUGAAUAUCUGAAAUUUUUGUAUAUAAUUUAACGAAAUAUUAACAAAAAAACUGAUGAAAAUAUAAAAAUGAAACCACAGGAUACUACCUUGAUAUACUUUAAAACACAGAAUACUAAAGUUAGAAAGUUCAAAACCAUAGUAUUGGUAUCUGAAGUUUAUCCUUAAAAAAAUAGCUCAGUGGUGCUUUUAAAAAAUAAAAAAAUACAGUGUAAAAAGUGAAAAAACUUAUAAAGUACUAUCAAGUAAUUAGCACGAGUGGAGUUCCUGCACUUCACUGCGGUUAUUUUUUGUAUAAAUAUUAAAUUAUAAAUUUUAUAAUAUGUAAAUAAAAUUUUGUAGUAUAAUAAUAAGUUGAAGAGCCUUUUCAAAAUUAUUGUGCCGUAGUUCCAUUUCCGCCCAUUCGCACCAAACGGUAGCGAGAUGGUCGACCGACUUGUAGUUCACCUACGUAGCCCUUUCGAAGACCUCUUCAGCACGGUCAAGUCGAUUAUUGCUCUCGUACAUCCGCGCAAAAGCGAUCCACAGAGUAUGGGGCUUCCCCACCGCCUUCAUCGGAUCCACUAUCUCCAAUACUCGGGCGUGAGCAGACAGCUGCAUCGCAGGAUCGCCGUCGAAAAGCUUCACCCGCCUGCAAUUGAAAUAUACAGUUAGAUUCUUCCCAAAGGGCUUGUUUGGUUCAUCCAUUAUAGAACUCGCUGCUGGUUAACUCCUUUAUCAGUCUUCCGCCUUCCUCGUCACCUAGGUCGCCGUUGUCCACCUCACCAUCAGAGGAAUCGAGCUUGGCGGCAAGCAACAUCUGCUCGAACUGCGCAUACGCCUCAAAGAUGAGGCCGAAUUCCCCGGCAGUCGAAACAGCAUUGAGGUCGGCCUCGAAGACGUCCUGCGCCUUCUUGAAGAGCCCUCUGCAGGCGUAGUAGUCGGCGAGGGAGUUCCAGAGCAGGCCUUCCUCGUUGGUGAGUUGGCGGAUGCCGCUGCGAAUGACGGCUUCGACGUUUAGGCCUGAAAUUGAGAUUUCAACGGCGUGGCCGACGACAAUGGCUAUUGGAGAUAUAGAUCUAUUUAACAACUAAUCUAUCUUUCCAGCUUUACUUAUUUUCAAAUUGGUUAAUUAUUUUCAAUUUGAAACUAUCUUUUAAUAGACCCAAAAUUUAAAAUUCUAAUAAAAUAUAGAUUGAUGUUUGAAAUUUUGUACCAAAAUAUCCUAAGAGGUGUUUGGAUGCUUCAAAAAUACCCCAACAAAAUAGGGUAUAGUUUAACUAUACCCUAAAAAACAGGGUAAAAGUAAAAUCUAAUAUUUUCUCUAGAAAAAAAAUUACUCCAUUUUUCGGGCCGCCUCCCCACUCGCCCGACUUCCUCUCGCGCGUCUCUUUCCCUCCCGUUGCCCUCUCCACAACUUCCUCCCAUCUCCUUCCCGUUGCCGCUCUCACCUCAGCACAGCUUCCUCCCAUCUCCCUCCCGUUGCCGCUCUCACCUCAGCCGCUGCCGCCGCCGCCGUGGAUCUCGGCCACCGCUGCUGCCACACUCAUCUCGCGGGUUGCCGCCAUUGCCGCGCACGUCUCGCGCGCUGCCACCUUUGUAGUCACGAUCACCUCGGCCGCCGCCGCGGCCGCACUAACCUUGGCCGCCAUUUUCUUUUUUCGAUCUUCUCUCGCCCCUCGCCCCUCUCGCCCCUCGCCUUGCGAUGGCCGGAGAAGGGCAGCCCCAUUUCCCUCCUCCAACAGGUAACAGGUCUUCUUCUUCUUCUUCUUCUUCUAAUUUUGUUCAAUGGGGUAUCCCUUCUUCUAAUUUAUGGGUCUUCUAAUUUUAUUUUUUUUUCAACAGGUCUUCUUCGGAUUUUUUUUUUUUCAAUAGGGCAUCCCUUCUUCUUCUUCUUCUCAUUUUGUUAUUUUUUACAAUAUUUUCAUAUAAUCUGAUUUUAUUUGUUUUGAUUUUGUUGAUGACAUUCUCUGAUUAGCGUAACUGUGUCAAACACUUUUUGAGAUGUUUACAUGAGUAAGGUAACUAUGGAAGAAUAUAAAGUUUCUAUUCUGCUGAUUAGCUUUGAGUAACACUGAAGAAAAGUUGUGAGAAAAUCAGAUAAGAUGAUUCGGACAUGUUUAAUGAAAUGAUUGAGAAUAUGUCUGAAGUUUCUGUUGAAAAGUAGAAAUGGUUAGUGAAGUUAUAAGGCUUCUUGGUUUCGGUCAAUGUUGAAGAGAAAGGAUAGGCCACUAGCUAGAAUUGCUGAUGUAGGUUAAAAACAGUCAAGGGUAAAAAAAUGGUCUGUACUGCUGAUGAGAAUAUUGCUAUUCUGCAAUAUUCUCAUUGAAUAGCAAUAUUCUCAUCAACAGUUAUCAAAAUUGCUAUUCUGCAAACAUGUGAAAACUUGGACUCCGAACCUUGACAGAGACUGUACUGCUGACGAGAAUAUCAAUUUGGGUAGAAGACCCCACGAAGGGGAGAGAAAGAUUAAAAAGCACAUAGCUAUGUAUAAACAUAUACAAUGUGUCCAUUUUAAGGUGAACCUAGUUAGGAUUACACAGCUAUUGAAAGAGACUGGAAGCUUUUAUUGGUCUAUGGCCGUUGAUGUAUACUUUGUCUUUGAUCUUUUGUUUAUACUUUGCCAAAAUGGGUUGUAGCUUUGCCAAAAUUGGGUUUUUUAAUUCUCCAACAGCUAGAGAUAAAACUUUCCGACGACUAAUUUUUCAAAUUUUAAUUUUUAAAUUUUAAAUUUUAAAAUCAUUUAAUAGUUAAUAAUUUAAAUUUAAAUUUUGAACUUUUAUUUUAAAUUUUUAGUUUUUAAAGUCAUUUAAUAGCUAAUAAUUUAUGUUUAAACUCCCAAGGCUAAUUUUUAAAGAUUAUCAGAAAUUCUGUAGAAUUAUAUAAUGUGUAUUCAAAUAGCUUUUAAAAUGAACCCGUGAAAUAUUUUUGGAGUUACAGGAUACUCCAUUUCAUUUGGAUCAAAACUACGGUAUUUAAACUCCACAAAAUUUAUUUACUGCUCAUCCAAACAGAGCCUAAGUAUGAAUUUUUUCUUCUGUUUCUGCAAAUAAAAUUUUAUAUAUAUUUUAGCUAUAAAAUGGAUAUAUCAAUAAUUAUUUUAAUAUUUAUUUCAAAUCAUCAUAUUUAUCAAAAAAUUUUAAAAAAUUUUUUUCUAAAAAUAAUUUGUCUAUUAUAUUUUAUUUAAAAUUAUAUGUUACAUUCUAAUUCAAAUUCAAAUAAUUGUCGCCGACAAAAAUUAUAUAGUUCUAUUUUUUUAAAUUCAUACAUUGAAUAUUUCACUAUAUGUUUUUUUUUUUUUGAANAUCCAGAGGAACACUGGUGAUUCACACUCCAGAACUGCAAUAUUUCUGCCGACUCAGACCUAACUCCAUACAUUGAGCAAAUUCACAGUUAUUUGGGUCGGCCGUGGCGGAAUUUAUCUAGGACUUCAAAAUUUUAAUUCAUGUUUAAUUCAAAAUUUAAUAUUUAAUUUUGAUUCACUUUAAUUAAAAUUUCUAACUGUUAAUUCAAAUUUAAUAUCUAAAAUUAUAUUUAAUUCACGAUUUAAACUUAAAUCUUAAUUUUAAUUUAAAAAUCUAUAAAUUUAAAUUUAAGUUAUAUAAUUAAAUUUUAACUCUAAAUUUCAGAUGAAAUAAAAAUUUUAAAUCAAAUAAAAUUAAAAUUAGAUAGAUAUUUAAAUUUAAAUUUAAAUUUAAUUAUCGGUUGCAAAAAGUUAAUAUAACAACUAAAUAUUAAUGUGAAGAAUUGAGAUAAUUUUUAAAUAUUCACCUUAAAAAGAAAAGGAUAUAUUGAAUGAUAUAAAAAUAUUUAAUAGAAAAAGAAAAUAUUAUUCGUUAAAGAUAAAAAAGAAUUAAAAAUUUGUUUUAUUACGUUUUUUGUUUUGUAUAAGAAAAGGAGAAACCGAAUUUUUUUUUCCACAAAAAAUAGGUCUAUUGAUGGGUCGAAAUUUGAAAUAUGUGCUUUUCUAUAUAUAGUAUUGCACGGGUACGCUUAUAUAAUUUCAUUUGGACCAAAACUACGGUAUUUAAACUCCAUAAAAUUUAUUUACUGCUCAUCCAAACAUGGCCUAAGUAUGAAUUUUUUCUUCUGUUUUUGCAAAUAAAAUUUUAUAUAUAUUUCAGCUAUAAAAUGGAUAUAUCAAUAAUUAUUUUAAUAUUUAUUUCAAAUCAAUACAGAUUUGUGCAUCAUAUUUAUCAAAAAAUUUUAAAAUUUUUUUUUCUAAAAAUAAUUUGUCUAUUAUAUUUUAUUUAAAAUUAUAUGUUACAUCCUAAUUCAAAUUCAAAUAAUUGUCGCCGACAAAAAUUAUAUAGUUCGAUUUUUUUAAAUACAUACAUGGAAUAUUUCAUUAUAUGUUUUUUUUUUUUUGAAAGAUCCAAAAGUUAAAUAUAUAUUUUAAACUAAAAGUGUCAAAAUUUUAAUUAACGUUUAAUUCAAAAUUUAAAAUUUAAUUUUGAUCCACUUUAGUUAAAAUUUUCUAACUAUUAUUAAUUGAAAUUUAAUAUCCAAAUUAUAAUUAAUUCACGAUUUAAACUCAAAUUUUAAUUUUAAUUUAACUCUAUAAAUUUAAUUUUAAAUUAUAUAAUUAAAUUUCAACUCUGAAUUUUAGAGUUUAAAUCAAUUGAAGUUAAAAUUUAGAUAGAUAUUUGAAUUUAAAUUUAAAUUUGAUAAUCGGUUGCAAGCAAUAAAAAGUUAAUAUAACAACUAAAUAUUAAUGUGAAGAAUUGAGAUAAUUUUUAAAUAUUCACCUUAAAAAGAAAAGGAUAUAUUGAAUGAUAUAAAAAUAUUUAAUAGAAAAAGAAAAUAUUAUUCGUUAAAGAUAAAAAAGAAUUAAAAAUUUGUUUUAUUAUGUUUUUUGUUUUGUAUAAGAAAAGGAGAAAUCGAAUUUUUUUUUCCACAAAAAAUUAGGUCUAUUGAUGGGUCGAAAUUUGAAAUAUGUGCUUUUAUAUAUAUAGUGUUGCACGAGUACGCUUAUACAAUCGUUGGCAUCUGUCGCAGAUGAUGAUACUGCAUCGUGGCAGGUGAUCGAAUGCUUUGGUUCUGGUGAGAGGCUGUAGCAUACUCGACGCCUCACCGGAAGCCAUUUUGAUAGAUGUCGUGGUUCCCCAGGAUGGCACUGAGAACUACAUGACAGUGAUGGCGGCUAUAGAUACAGCACCAUCGAGCAGCGAACACCGCUAUGUCAUUUACAUUCGGAGAGGGACAUAUAAUGAAGACGUUUUCGUUGAGAAGCCGAAUGUAGUUUUCAUAGGCCCACUGUGGCUAGGGUAUCACAUAAUCACUGACCCAGCUGUGACUGCUAAUUUCACAGUCAUGCUGUUGAUCGAGGGAGACUCAUGGUUGUCUUCUACUGGGAUUAGUUACAAGAGUGGAUUGUAGUGAGAUAGAUUAGAGUGUGGGUGAGUCAAGUGGCUAGGGUAUCACAUAAUCACUGACCCAGCUGUGGCUGCCAAUUUCACAGUCACGCUGUUGAUCGAGGGAGACUCAUGGUUGUCUUCUACUGGGAUUAGUUACAAGAGUGGAUUGUAAUGACAUAGAUUAGAGUGUGGGUACUUCUAUAGAUUUGAGAGCUGAGUUGGAGAGGAAAGUAUGAUAUCAAAAGAUUAUUAUUUAAAUGAGAAAAUAUUUUUGGCAUAAAAGUGUCCAUAUUUUGUUUAAGUGAAUGUGAAUGUAUUGGCUACUAUAAUAAUCUGCAAUAAAACUACAUAAUGAAUACUAUAUUACUAUUGUUUUGUGAUUGUAACCGACAAUUUUAUUUUAUUUUUAUAUUCUGAUGGAAAGAAAGGUUGGUUGUGAUAUGUUAGAAGCGAGGCGAGGGUGAAACUGGGCCGGGUUGGAAAUGGAACAGACAUGGCUCAAGUAAAUUGAGUAUAUUUUGGGCCAGACUUUGGCUAAAAAUAAAAUAAUAUGAAAAUAAAGCCCGAUCAAAUAUUAGGCUUUGGUUAGGGCCAUGUAAGAGGCAAUAUAUAUAUAUAUAUAUAUAUAUAUAUAUAUAUAUAUAUAUAUAUAUAUAUAUAUAUUAUUAAUACACACACAUUAUAUAUAUAAUUAAAUUAUUAUUAAUACACACACAUUAUAUAUAAACUGGAGCUUUAAGUAUAAAUUAAAUAAUAUAAUAUCAAAUUAUUAGAAUAAUAUUCUAUCAGUGCAGUUUUGAGGGCUACCAGGAUACAUUAUACGCCCACUCCUACAAGCAAUUCUACCAAGAAUGCCGCAUCAUCGGCACAGUAGACUUCAUAUUCGGGAAUGCAGCAGCUGUGUUCCAGUUCUGUCUCAUCCUCGCCUGUCGUUCUCUUCCUGGCUAGGCGAACACUAUUACUGCCCAGGGUCGUGAUGACAUCCAGAGGAACACUGGUGAUUCACACUCCAGAACUGCAAUAUUUCUGCCGACUCAGACCUAACUCCAUACAUUGAGCAAAUUCACAGUUAUUUGGGUCGGCCGUGGCGGAAUUUAUCUAGGACUUCAAAAUUUUAAUUCAUGUUUAAUUCAAAAUUUAAUAUUUAAUUUUGAUUCACUUUAAUUAAAAUUUCUAACUGUUAAUUCAAAUUUAAUAUCUAAAAUUAUAUUUAAUUCACGAUUUAAACUUAAAUCUUAAUUUUAAUUUAAAAAUCUAUAAAUUUAAAUUUAAGUUAUAUAAUUAAAUUUUAACUCUAAAUUUCAGAUGAAAUAAAAAUUUUAAAUCAAAUAAAAUUAAAAUUAGAUAGAUAUUUAAAUUUAAAUUUAAAUUUAAUUAUUGUUUGCAAUCAAUAAGAAGUUAAUAUAACAACUAAAUAUUAGCAGAUAGAAUUGAGAUAAUCUUUGAAUAUUCACCUUAAAAAGAAAAGGAUAUUGAAUAAUAUAAAAUUAUUUAAUAGAAAAAAAGAUAUUAUUCGUUAGAGAUAAAAAAAAAUUAAAAGUUUGUUCAUUACAUUAUUUGUUAAAGAGGAACCAAAUUUUUUUUCUACCAAAAAAAAGGUAUGUCAACAUACCUAAAAUUGAAAACUAGUAAUUACAAAAUAUUAGCGGAUAGAAUCUAGAUAAUUUUUAAAUAUUCAUCUUAAAAAGAAAAGAAUAUUGAAUAAUAUAAAAAAUAUUUAAUAUAAAAAAGAUAUUAUUUGUUAGAGAUAAAAAAAGAAUUAAGGGCGUGUUUGGUUCGCCCAUUUUUUAUCCUGUAAUUGGAAUCGGAAUGGACGAAUCCGUUUGUCCGUUUUUGGUUUGCCAAUUUUGACGUAAAUUUUUAGUAUUUAGUUAUAAAGAUAAAAUUGACUUAUUAAUUUAAUUAUAUUUUUAAUAUCUGAAAUAAAUACCGACAAUGAAAAUGACUCAUUUCGAUUCGAAUUUAGGUGGCGAACCAAACAGAAUGAGAUAAUUAAUCAUUCUGAUUCCAUUUCCAACUUAUUCUCAUUCCGAUUCUGAUACCGAUUCCAAUUUCAAACCAUACCCUAAAAGUUUGUUUUAUUACAUUAUUUGUUAAAGAGGAAUGAAAAUUUUUUUUCACCAAAAAAGGGUCUGUCAACAUACCUAAAAUUGAAAUAUAUGCUAUUAUAUAUUUAAUUUUAAAUUUUGAAUUAAAGUAUUAAUUCAUAUUUGAAAUUAUGAACCAAAUUUAAAAUUUAACAUUGAUUUGAUAAGCAUAUUUAAAUCAUUCUAUUUUUCAAUGCUAAUUUUUUUUAGUUAGUUAAUUGAGAGAUAGUGUAUACUAAAUAUUUUCAAUAUGUGUUGAGUAGAUAUUUUUGUUUUUUGAUUAUUAUGGAAUAUUCUUUUAUAGGGCAAUUGUGAAAAAUAUUUUAUAGCAGAUAUCCUUCAGAUGACAGAAAUUUGGAUUUUUUUUCUGUUCUCACAAAUGGAAUGCAAUAUUUUUUUCUACUAAAAAAAGAUUUGUCUACAACUAUUUUAAUAAUUAUCUCAAAUCAAUAUAAAUUUGUGAAUUACAUUUAUUUUCAAAUUUAAAAUUUAAAAUUAUAAAUUCAUAUGUUAUAUUUUAUUGAAAAAUAUCUCAUAUUUUAAAUAUUAGUAGAUAAAACUGAGAUAAUUUUUUAUAUAUUCAACUUUAAAAAAAAUGUUUAAAUAUUAUAUAUGCGGAGAGUAUUACGUGAUUAGAUAUUAUGUAGGUGGUGGGAAUUACAUGUGAAAAAAAAUAUUUAAGAUAUGGUAGAUUGUGAAUAUUAUAAAAUACGAUAUUAUGUGUGCGGCAGUUAUUAGAAGAUAGGUGUGCAUAUAAAAGUGAAAUUUGAUACGUACUAUUUAAGAACAAUUUAGAUACAAAAAAAAGUGACAGACACUUAAUUCGUCAUUCAGGAGAAACUUUUUUUAAAACUCUCUCUUUUAUAAGUAGUAUAGAUAAUUUAAUUAUUAUUAAUAUAUGUACACACACAAUAAUAUAUAUAUAUAUAAUUAAAUUAUUAUUAAUACACACACAUUAUAUAUAAAUUGGAGCUUUAAAUAUAAAUUAAAUAAUAUAAUAUCAAAUUAUUAGAAUAAUGUUCUACCGGUGCAGUUUUGAGGGAUACCAGGAUACAUUAUACGCCCACUCCUACAAGCAAUUCUACCGAGAAUGCCGCAUCACCGGCACAGUAGACUUCAUAUUCGGGGAUGCAGCUGCUGUGUUCCAGUUCUGUCUCUUCCUUACCUGUCGUCCUCUUCCUCACCAGGUGAACACCAUUACUGCCCAGGGUCGUGAUGACAUCCGGAGGAACACUGGAUUCACGCUUCAGAAUUGCAAUAUUUCUGCCGACUCAGAUCUAGCUUUGUAUAUCGAGCAUAUUCACAGUUAAUUGGGUCGGCCAUGGCUGAACUUAUCCAGGACCGUGAUUAUGGAGACCUACAUUGGGAGCUUGAUUCGGCUUGAGAGGUGGCUCGAAUGGAAUAGUAGUUUUGCCCUCGACACUCUCUAUUAUGCAGAAUACAUGAAUUCCGAGCCAGGUUCGGGACUACGUGGACGGGUUAAGUGGCUAGGGUAUCACAUAAUCACUGAUCCAGUUGUGGCUGCCAAUUUCACGGUCGCGCGGUUGAUCGACGAGGACUCAUGGUUGCCUUCUACUGGGAUUAGUUACAAUAAUAGAUUGUAGUGAGAUAGAUUAGAGUGUGGGUACUUCUAUAGAUUUGAGGGCUGAGCUGGAGAGGAGAGUACGAUAUCAGAAGAUUGUUAUUAAGUGAGAAAAUAUUUUUGGCAUAAAAGUGUCCAUAUUUUGUUUAAGUGAAUGUGAAUAUAUUGGCUACUAUAAUAAUCUGCUAUAAAACUACAUAAUGAAUACUGUAUUACUAUUGUUUUGUGAUUGUAACCGAUAAUUUUAUUUUAUUUAGGGAAAACUUCAAAAACCCCCCCUGUGGUUUCGUGCAUUCUCACUUUGCUACCCUGUGGUUUAAAACGUAUCAUUUUGCCCCCCUGUGGUUUCGUUUUUAUCUUUUUGUUAUCAAUUUUAUUAUUAUUAUUUUUUUAAAAUCAGUGACAAAGUUAAAAUUAAAGGAUACUAAAGUGACUAUUCGAUAAAUANUUUUUUAAAAUCAGUGACAAAGUUAAAAUUAAAGGAUACUAAAGUGACUAUUCGAUAAAUAUAGAUGGUUAUCUGAAGUUUUUUGUAUAUAAUUUAACGAAAUAUUAACGAAAAAGCUUCCGAAAAGAUAAAAAUGAAACCACAUGGGGGUAAAUUGAUACGUUUUAAACCACAGGGUAGCAAAGUGAGAAUGCACGAAACCAUAGGGGGGGUUUUUGAAGUUUUCCCUUUUAUUUAUAUAUUUUGGGUGGAAAGCAAGGUUGGUUGUGAUAUGUUAGAAGUGAGGUGAGGGUGAAACUGGGCCGGGUAGGAAUUGGACCAUCGUAAUUCAAGUGUGGCCCAAGUAAAUUGAGUAUAUUUAGGGCCUGAUUUUGGCUAAAAAAAAAUUAAAAAAAAAAUGAAGCCCGAUCAAAUAUUGGGCUAUGGUCAGGGCCAUGUAAGAGUCAAAAUAUAUAUAUCACCACUUUUUAUACGAUUUUUAUUUUCAGCAGUUAAAAAUUAUUGAUUUUGAAUUUUUUCGAUUUCCAGGUAAAUGAUAUCGAAAAAUCACAGAAAUUAUUUUCUAGAAACUUCAAAUACGCUAGAUCAAGUCUAACUGUCACGCCCCAGAUUACUCAUUUUCGCCGUAUAUAUAGAAAUUUUUUCUGUAUACGAAGCAAUAGCUGUACCUGUACCUGUAAUCAUACAACACUACAACCAGUAGUAUAGAGCUGCUAAAAAGAAAACAUAUAUAAAUAACAUCGAUUCAAAUACAUAUAUAGUAUCCAGAUACAAAACAGUCGCUUCAGCGAGAAUCUAACAUCAGUAUGUACAAGAACAAAAAACGAACACUACCUGUAGCGGGUAAAUCUCUAGAUCAGCAGCAACACUGGAAGGGAUCUAACUCGCGACUCCCUUUUCACGAUCUAUAUCCGCAACAGCAGCAGCCGAAGAAGAAGACUGUACAAAAAGCUUCUACAACUGGGUGUGAGAACUACUGCAAAAAGAAGUAGUCCUCAGUGGGUACUGCUACCAACCUCAACGGCUCACUCACUAAGUCUACAGAAGUAUGCUCAAAGAUAGUAAAGAAAGCUGGAACAAUUCUACAGCUAUAUGUCACUAUACUAUCGUGAUCCAACACCAACUAUCUGUAGAAAAUGCAAGUCCUGACCCAAUCUCACUAGUCAUCAGGGACUGUGAACACACCCGUCCUGCCUGUCGAACCUACACUAAUUACCACAACGCUGGAUCAUCAAUGGAAAGCAAGUCCAACCAGAACAAACCAACAACAACGCAAAAGCACAAAGCCCGACUCUGGAGUCGCACUCGUGGGCGCUACCCAACCGAGUAUGCAAGCGUAUUUCUGCCGAACUCAAUCAGACUCUCACAGGCUGUAAUCAAUACAGAAGGGUCUAACUGGUAUAACAACCAUAAUCAGAAUGAAAGAAAAUUUACCAGGUUCCUUAAAGAAAAAUCAGAAUUCACUUCUAAUGUGGUUCAGCCAAGCAGAAAGCGUCUUAGGUAAUUCCACUACAACUGCAUCGAUUUAAUAAGUUCUUUAUAAUUAUUUACCAAUUAAACUUUUUUUUUUUUUACUAUGUUAACUUCAUAGGUUUACAGAAGAUGAUGGCCCAAUCAAUAGCAAGAGCAAACCCUGACAAUAUAAUAAAAUUAUUCUGUUUAUUACUUAUGCAUCUUUUUGGAUUUUUGUGAUUAAUAGAUGCACAUCUAUUCUUUUUGCGAGGCGAGGGGGUUUCGAUGAACGGAGCAGAGGAAGGAAAGGGUGCGCCGAGCGCGAGGAAAGCGAUGAAGGAAAGAGGAGAGCUGUGGAUCCGAGCUGGAAGAUCGGAGAGAGCGCGGAUUCCUGUGGGGAGAUCGGAGAGAGAUCGAAGAGAGAAAGAGAGGCGGGAUCGGAGAGAGAGAGAGGCGGGAUAGGAGAGAGAGAGAGGCGGGGGCGAGGCGGUUGCCAAGAGAUCCUCACCAGAUCUCACACCGGCGAGGAUCGUGCCGCGAAUCUCGGCGGGAGGUCGGAGAGACCGCGGAUCCCGGCAGGGAGAUCGGAGGGCGGAUCGCAGAAAAAGAAAGAUGGGAGGGACAGCAUGGAGGGAAAAAAAAACGCCGAAGAUCGCGCCGCGGAUCCCGGCGGAUCCGCGUGGGGAGAUCAAAGAGAGAGAGAGGGGCGAGGAGCAAACCCCACGGGCCCUCUCGCGCCCCGCGCGCCACGCCCGCCCGGCUCGCGCCUGCACAUGCGCCUACCCCGGCUCGCGCUCGCACACGUGCCCACCGGGCUCGCACCCGUGCUCGCCGGCGCCGGCGCCUGCGCCUCGAAAAGGCGGAGAAAACGCCACGUCACCCGUGCUCGGCCCGCGCCAACUCGCGCCAGCACCCGCGCCCGCUCGCCUCCCGCGCCCGCCCCAGCUCACGCCGGCGUCCGUCCGCGCCAGCGCCUCCGCUCCUCGCUGGUGGGCCCCACUGGACCCCCCAAAUGCGGGGAAGGCUCUAUACAAACUCUCCUUUCACUUAUUUGUAUAGAUUUUGAAAUAUAAUGGAUGUGGUGCAUGAGAUGCACUUGUACACCCGGUGUAGAGAGCAAAUUCUCAUGCUCCGUUUCUCAUCGCGGAUUAAUUUUAAUCUUAUCUUUUAACUCUUAUUUAUCAGUUCACUGCGACGAAUAGAGACGAGAAAAAAAUUAUAAAGAAUUAGGAUGAAUAAAAAAAAAAGGAUGUUUGGGACUUUCGCUCUAUUUACUUAACGGAUCAGAGUAUUAUUUGAUAUAUAUAUUUUAUUUUUACUUAUCGUUUUAUUUGGGCAAAACGGGUCAACAACUCUACCAACCUGGAUCCAUUCCCCCGUACCACGCCAUGCUUUAUUAUUAUUAUAUUAUUAUUGGCUAAAUUAUAUAAAAUUUUAUUGUCAAAAUUCGAUUUUUCACUUUUCUCUAUUGUUAUUUAAAAAUCUACACUUUACCCUAUUAUAAAAUAAUUCAGAGAGUAAACUGUGAUGACAAAUGAUCAUUUCGCCCCUUACUAUUUUCGUCUCCUUCCUCAUCUUCCUUAUCCGCCGUUUUGAUCGGCCGCUGUUCGCAUCUCGAUCGGCCGUGAUUCCUCUCCAUUUCCUUCUUCACCCGCUCCCCUUCUCCUUCUACACUCUCGUCGCCCCUCUAUUUCGGCGACAAUAGGGAGGGAGGAAAUCGAAGUGGGCGUAGAUAGAGAGGUGGGCAAAAGCAAUGAGGGUGAAAGCAAGGCGGCGGAGGAGGGCGAGAGAAUGUUUAUGGGCACGGUCAGAGAUGUGGAUGAGGGCAAGGCAAUGGAGGAAGGCGAGGCGGCGAGGCAGAGGAGGGCGAAGCAACCGUAAAGAAGGCAAAGGGUAUUUUUGGCAUAAAAAAUUUAUAACGGAACCCUAACGGAUCACUAACGGUACGGGGUGAAAUAAAUAUUUUUUAUUUUACAAAAAGGUAUAGUAUAGAUUUUUAAAUGACAGUGGAGGAAAGUAAAUAAUCGAAGUUUAACAUCAGAAUUUUAUGUAAUUUAGCCUAUAUUAUUUAUUUAUUUACUAAUUUAACUCCACAAAACCCUCCUCCUUCUCCGCCUCCUCCUCCAUGCGCGGCGACUCCGACCCCCCUCCGCCGCCGCCGCCGCAGCCGCUGGAGAUGGCGGAGUCCGGCCGAGACCCCGCGGCGGCGGAGGCGCUCCGCCUCCUCGCCAUGGCGGAAGCGAGGCUCGCCUCCGCCUCCUCCCUGAAAUCCGCUCUCAAGUACGCCAAGCGCGCGGCGAGGCUCCGCCCCGGAGUCGGCGGCGCCGCGGCGCUCGUCGCCGCGCUCCGCGUCCUCCGCGCCGACCCCUCCGACCACUACGGCGUCCUCCGCCUCCCCCCGCUCUCCUCCGCGGCCGCGAUCCGUCGCCGCUACAAAACCCUAGCCCUCGACCUCCACCCCGAUCGCUCGCCCUUCCCCUCCUCCUCCUCCUCCUCCGCGGUGGCGGUGGCCGAGGAGGCGUUCAAGCGCGUCGCCGAGUCCUUCCGCGUCCUCUCCGACCGGUCCCUCAAGCGCCGCCUCGACCUUCGCCUCCGCCGCGGCCGACGAUCGCCGCCGCCGGAGGAGGAGGAGGAGCGCGCCGCCACGUUCUGGACCGCCUGCGCCGCGUGCCGCCUCCUCCACGAGUUCCACCGCAGGUACGUCGGCUACCGCCUUGUUUGCCCUAGCUGCCGCAAGAGCUUCCUCGCCGUCGAGGUCCCCAACCCCAACAACGACGACGAUGACGAUGACGAAGCCGAGGACCCGGAACAGGAGGAAGGAGAAGAAGAAGCAGAAGAAAAUGGCGACGACAAUGCCGAUGAUAAUAAGUCGAGAGUUAGGGCUAGCUCUAGGGAUAGGGCUAGGGCUAGGAGGGUAACGAAGUCGCGAUCUAAUUCUCGGCCUAGGGUUUCUAGAUUCCCGCCAUUGGCGCGGCAAAAACGGAGAAUUGAACCCAGACUUUCGAACUCGCCAUUGGCGGGGUCCAAGAAACCCCGGACAAAUCCGGAGAAGACGCUAGCCGAGAUGCAGAUGGAGCUCAGCAGGGAAAAGAAGAGGAAGGAGAGGAAGGGAAAUGUGAAACCUUUGCUUCAGCCAAAGGAGGAGGAAGAAAAUGAUUCGAGCCUAAUGGUGGUCGAGGACUCGGAUUUCUACGACUUUGAUAAGGAUCGGUCGGAGAAGAGCUUCAGGAAAGGGCAAAUUUGGGCAAUUUACGAUGACGAUGACGGGAUGCCCCGCCACUACGGGUUGAUCGAAGAGGUCGUCUCUUCGGAUCCAUUUAGGAUUAGGAUGAGUUGGUUGGACAUCGAAAACCAUGGAGAUGAGCAUUUGCUUCUUUUAGAGAAAUCGGGGUUUCAUAUCUCGUGUGGGCGAUUUAAGAUUGGGAGAAAAGUUGAAAUCCGCUCAGUCAAUCUCUUCUCCCAUUUGAUCGACUGCGAAAGGGCCGCGAGGGAGCUUUUUAGGGUUUACCCAAAAAAGGGUUCGGUUUGGGCGCUAUAUGGGGAUUGGAACUUCGGCGGAGAGGAGAGGAGGCGACACUAUGACAUUGUUGUGUUGCUCACAAGCUAUAGUGAUAUGUAUGGGGUGAGCAUGGCGUAUCUUGAGAAGGUGGGCGGGUACAAGAGUGUAUUUAAGAGGCGGGAGGUUGGCGCACUUGCUAUUAGGUGUAUUGAGAAAGAGGAUGUGAGGGUUUUCUCGCAUCAGAUUCCCGCACGGAAGCUUUCGGGAACGGAAGGGUUGGAUUUGCCGAGAGAUUGCUGGGAGCUCGAUCCUGCUUCACUAACUGCAGAAAUGCUCUCUGUUACUUGGAGUAGGUAAUGUUUGCUGCGAUGAUGGUGACGUGCAGCAUUGUAAAAAUUCCAUUUGAACCGACAAUGAAGUUUUGCUUCGCUUCGUCAAACUUGGGAGGUUUUUGGCUCGCUUACCUAUUUUCUGAAAUUUGAUUCGUCAUCUUGAUUCCAUUCGUAUCUUAGGUUGCAUUUGUGAAUUUUAAUGUUGUUCUGUUGCUCGUGAUUGUUAUAAUGGCUAACACUAAAGUAUGUGAAUGCCGACCAUAACUGAUGAAUGACUUAGCUCAGCAGAAAACUAUAAGUUGUUUCACAGUUUCAAUACAUAGCAUUUAGUGAUGCCAAAAUAUGCUCUCAAUAAACAAGGAUAUGCCCAAUUCUCACAAACUCUAGAAUUGUUCGCUUGUUCUCAGCUAUCUUUUAUUCAGGUGUCUAUGUUUGUUUGUCUGUGUAUUGUUUGCUAAAAUUGUAAAGAUUUGUAAAUCUGCUGCGGGGAACCAUUUAUUGCUUACGAAGUUACCUUUUAACAGGAAUUGCCUGAAACCUUUUCAAGAUUCGACUUUAUAGCAAAAGAUGUAACUAUCUUCUGAAGUUUGCCAGUUGCAUGUCUUCCUGUUUGUAUACUUUCUAUAUGUUCAACACUGCUAUUGUUAUUUCAAUAACAAUUUGAAUACGUCACGCAUUCGGCAUUCCAUUAUUGCAUCUAGAGUAAGCUGGAAAAAAAGAAGUCCGUCAUGGGACGACGCAAGAUUACUUUCAACUCUUUAGUCUACAAUCUUGUAGUUCUUAAGGCUUCAACGGUACCAGUGUUACAUCAACCGUCGGACAAUCGCACAUGGGAUUUGAAUUUGUCUUUAUCACUGCUCAAAUGCCUAGAUAGUAAAUACGCACUUAUUAUUUCAUUUUGCCUUGAGAUCCAAAAAUACUCCAGAUGUAUGAAUUAUUUGUUUCUAUGCAUGCCUCCAUACUAUUAAUAAGAAAAUUCUCUACUAGUUUGUAAUUUCUUAGCACAAAUAAGCUACUAGUAUUAAAAAUGAUCAAACAUCAGUAUCAGGUUAUUCUUUUCAUUGUUAUGCUGUUAUAUGUGAUCGAAGCACUUACUAGAAGGGUGCCCUUUGAACUAUAACAUGUAAAUUACCAUGUUAAAAGUAGUUUUUACAAUAUAGGGUAUGUUUGUUUCGCUGGAGGUGAAGUUUGAUGGAUGAAUUAGAGUUUUGGUGAAUCUCUUUUGUUGUUUGUUCUUUAGAGCUGUGGAAUUGAAGUUUCUUUAGUUUUGUUGUCCGUUUGUCCUAGUGUGAAUGACGUAAAAGUUGAAAUUUUCUGUCAUUAAUAUUUUAUCAUUUGUUCCUCACUCUCCUCUCCUAUAAUUAACUCCGGUCGGGGUGAACCGAAGACAAUCACGGUAUUUUUGAGAGUUUGAAUUUCGACCGGAGCUGGAAUUACGCCGAACCAAACAAUGGAGGUGGGCAUCCGAAAUCCACUUCUCCCCCUCUCCAUUUUUGGUGAAACAAACACAAUCAGUAGUGUUUCUUCAGCUUCGAUGUAAGUUUGCAGCAGACUCCGAAUUUAGAAUUGCAAGUCCAAAGGUUUGCGGGUUUGGGCAGUGACAGUGAACUGAGAAGAUGAUUACUGAAGCACACCAUCCAUGUGUGGGUGAAUGUUGAACUUCCUUCGUAAAUCACGUCUUUAUCUCUGCUGAAUUUAACAGUAACUAGCGUGCGCUCUCCAGUUUGAUCGGUGUUAUUUGACUGAUAUAAUAAACUUGGCUGUUUUCUGUAUAAAUUCAAUUUUAUUGUGUCUCUGGGUAUCCUUCUUGUGUAAUGUUGCCGAUGUCUGCAGGUGCUUAGCCCAGAUUGGGACAGAUGCUCUCUAUCAAUCUGGAUCCAUUUACAUCCCUACUUUUCUGCUUCUUUUCUUUCUUGGGGGCGUGUACAGUGUGUGGAUGUGUCAAGAUGUGUUCACCUUACAAUCACACAGCACCAGUUUUCCCAAUAUGAACUCUAAAGCCAAUAGGAAUAGUUAGUUAGUGCAGAAACUCAUGCAAGCAGUUGGAAGCCCUAAAUUUAUUACGAUUAAAUCAUCAUACCACUAAGACACAAAAAUUAAAUUUGAGGGGAAAAAGAAGAAAAAAAAAAAAAACCUGCAAAGUGUUACCAAAUCCAAUCUUAAGACAAAACUACUGUUAUUUCUCCACCCAUGUUGUGACCAAAAAGAUCCUGGUUAAAACACCAACUUUACUCAUUCGGUAGUAAAAUGUUGAUGCCCUCUGCAAAGUCCUAUGACAUAACAUGCAUAAAUAUUGUAUGGGGAAUUUCAGGUGGUUUCAUCUAUCCAAGGAAGUUCAUGAUCACCAGAUGGAGCACUAAGUUGCAGAGGACGAAAUCGGCGAAGGCACGUUCUGGCGGUAGAUCCUGAAAUCAGUUUCAUACCAUCGUUAAACACGGUGAGGUUCUGAGAAUUAAAGAGAGCUUUCGUAAGUUACCUUAAAUUCCUUGUUCUCUUUGUUGACUUGAAUGCGGAGACAAACUGCACCAACAAGGAUAGUAAUACGCGAUAGAAUCGCAUAAACCGAGAAUACAAAAAGCAAGUGCAACUUCGUAUCAGAAAAAAGGGCAUGAAAACGCGUGUAAGCAUUGUUAUUUUUUGCAUUGUUAACCCCCUGGAAUUUUAAAAAUUGUAUGUUAUCAUGCUGACCUACGAGCAAACUGCUAGAUAGUUAAAAGAGGAGUGACGGAAAAAAAUAUGUAGUUUUCAGCACCUCAGGGAAGCAAAGUGAAAAAAUCAACGAUAUUUAUAGGUGUUCAGAUACUCUAAUGCAGUUUAGCCAGAAAAAAAAAGAGAAAAAAACGAAGAAAGAAUUAUAUACCUGCGAGUACUGCCGUCCCUACGCACGAAAGUACACCGGAGAGGAAAGAGUUGAAUGGAAAUGAUCCAACUAUUCCCAUGUAAACCACCUGUUGCACCAUGAAAGGAAAAAUGAACACUGCAAAGAUUAAAUACACCAGCUUUGUAAAGGUCACUGUAGUCACAAAUAGAAUACUCAUAGAGAAACAUUAGGUAAUCUGCUACAGCAUUAAUGGGCUGCUUUACAAGGCAAACUACACGAUCCUUGAUGAUUGAGUUUUAAAUAAUCAACUUAGCUAAGUCGCUGUAUGUUCCACUCAUACAGGGAUCAACAAUCAAUCCGAGAGGAAACAAGGGUGGUAGUUGCACAUAAAAAGGAUAAAAUAAAUAAUCUAUUUUCUGACGACCUUUGGGAUUGACGUAGUUUCCACACACAAACUUCUCUUGUGCUCCAAUGCGAACUAGCUACAAGUUAAACUAGCCCCUUCGAAGCAUAUUUACUUGGUACAAAUUACAAAAACUUGUAUAAGCGACUAACAGAAAAUAAGGUAACUUGAGAAUGUGCUUCAGGAUUACAGAACAUACAGAAUUACGUUAAAGCAUUUAUUAACAGUGAUUUAAGGGAUCUGGUUUGUGAAAUUGAACAGUCUAAUUUUGGGCGUACAAAAUUAACUACUAAUUAUCCCUUUGUUAUACACUAAUAUUGAUGAGGACAUCUUUCUACUAUUUAAAUUUAAUUAUUUUUUGGCUAAAAUACAGAAAACCUCUUUGUAAUAAUAUCCGCUUUUUUCACUUUCCCUUCCUAACUUUUAAAAAUCUAUAUUUUAUCCCCUUAAAAUUUUAGAAAUAUUUUCAGUAGGGUACAACAUUAAUGGAGAGGGCAAAAUGACCAAAUUGCCCAUCUUCUAUAAGAAAAAAAUAAUUUUUUAAUGUAUUUCUGUCAUUUUGAAAAACAUUUUCGGUACAAAUUAUAAAAAAUGGACGGAAUAGUGAUGGAACCCUGACAGAGGAGGGCUAAAAUGCAACAACUAAAAUGUUGAGGGAGUAAAAUAUAGGUUUUUGAAAGUUAGGGAGGGAAAGUAAAAAAGUUGGAUUUUCUGUAAUUUAGCCUUACUUUUUUGAGUACUGACGCAUCCGUUUGAUCACUCUACAUGAAUCUUCUUCAGUGUUCCAUAUUUCUAUCCCUGGUGGCAACAAGAAACUUAACUGUAUUAUAACACUGCCACCAUUUCUACCGUUAUCUUGUUUGUCAGAAUCUUGUCGGAGAAAGUCAAAAUCGAAAAUAAUAAUAAUAAUAAUAUGGUCGGUUGGUUUUAAAUAAUAGGGAUGAUCAAUUAGGCUAUUUCUACAGCCAACAUUUUGCUAGAAGUGUUUAAUAAAACAAUAACAAAAUAUAGCAGAUUGAUUUAUAAGUUGUUACAAGUAAUCGAGCCAGGAAUAACGCAAGAAUGAGGACACUGAGGUUUGAAAGCAGAAGUACUGAAGUACUAAAAUUACAUCAUUUACAAGAAUUCACACUUUGAUAGGAUCAAAAAGAGCAAGCAGAGUUCUACAACUUGAUAUUUCACUUGGACUCAUUUGUACGAUCGGCAUAGUAACUUUUGCCUCGGCAUUAUCUCGAUUCUUCUUCAUUGUUGUAGACCCAUUAAUCUACUCUCAUCUAUAAACAAGCAGAAUGCCUAUAGACUAUACUGCUGAUCUUGCAACCAAAUUAACAUUUUUACUAGGCUGGAUCAGUGGGCAUUAUCUCGAUUGUUCUUCAUUGUCGUAGACCCAUUAAUCUACGCUCAUCUAUAAACAAACAGAAUACCUAUAAACAAUACUACAGAUCUUGCAAACAAAUUAACAAUUACUAGGCUGGAUCAGCGGCCAUUCCAUUUUACUAGGGCAUUUAGUUUGAGACUCGCGAACUAUCAACUUUAUACAUCAUUUAAAUAUGGAUACAGAAAAAAGAACAAAUGAAAGGACAUGUCAAAAAGAAAAAAAGAAAUCAUGGAGUAAAAUAGUGAAAAAAUUUUACUGCCAAAUGACAAGCAACAAUCAAACCCUGUAACAGAUUGAGAUUAACAAACAUUUCUAAAUCAUUAAUCAUCACAUAUUGUAUAACGAAGACAUCAAUUCAUAAAACAAUCUAUAUGCAAUUAAAAGUAAGAGACAAAAAAUAUCAGUUGGUACCUGAAUCAGCGCCGUCGCAACAGCGAAAACCACAUACAGAUCAAUAAUCUGCCAAAAUUCACACAAAUAAAAAGAAGAAGAGAGAGAAACCUCUAUCAGAUCCUCCCAUCUACUAGUUAACCAAAUCGAAUCAAACUAAACUGAGAACCACAUCUGAACCCACCUUGAGGUUAGUUGGCGUGGCGGCGUACGCCUUGCGGAGAGACUGAAUCAAAAGCUGAGCAUCGUUCGUAGCCUUCGGCAUCUUCUCAAACUACUGCUUUUCCAAUCCCUAGCACAUCACAAACACAGGUAAAAACUCACAGAUCUCCACUACAAACCCUAAAAAUGGAACGAUCUUUGACAAAAAAAAAAAAAAAAAACCGAUAGCAUUACAUAAAUCAGAGAGGUUUCCGAAGCGAUCAUGUGAUUUAGUGUUUUGAAUCGAAGAAUGGGGGGGUAAUUUGUCGGAUUUGGAUCAGAAGGGGAUCAGAUCGAAUCGAGUGGUGACAAUUCGUGGAUUGAAAAGAAGAGGAGAGAGAGGAGAUCGAGAGGAAACCCUAGAAUUCGAGAGGAGGAGGAGACGAACCUGAGAGAGCGCGAGAGAGAGAAGAGGAGGAGGAGGCGGAGGAGCUUCGUCGUCUCCGCGAUCGCGAUGGUCGAGUGCGAUUUGGGGUUUUUGGUGCGGGAGAACGGGGGUUUUUACGGGCCGGUUUAGUUGGUGCGGUCCAUCCGAACCGGUGGUUCCUAAACAAACCGAACCGGAUGCACGUGCAGCACGUGCAACCGUAUCUCCCGGUGGAGAAUAAGACUAAGGGCGUGUUUGGUUCGCUUCUUUUUUACCAUGGAAUCGGAAUCGGAAUAGAUAAAUCCGUUUGUGGGUGUUUGGUACGCGAGAGUUCUAUUCCGAUUUCGAUUCCCGAGUGAAAUGGGAAUCCCCUAAUCACCUAUUUUUUCAAUCCGGCCUAAGAGGCCAGAUUGAAAGUUGAAUUCGGACGGAAUGGAUAUUUAUUCGGAUUAAAUUUAUUUUUUCAACUUUUUAAUUAAAAUAUGAGCUAAAAUUUUAAAAUUAAAUAUAUAAUUUUAAAUUUUAAUUUAAACUUAAAUUAAAAAUUAAAAUUUAAUCAAGUAUUUCGAAUCUAACUUAUGAAUUUGAAUUUAAAUUAAAUUUUAAUUUAUAUAAAAUGUUAUUCAAAUUUUAUUUCAAACUUAAAUUAAAUUUAUGUAUUCAAAUUAAAAUUUAAAUUAUAAUUUUAAAUUUUAAUUUGAAUAAAUCAAAAUUUAGUUUCAUAUUUUAAAUUAUCCACUCAACUUCAAAGUUUAAUUUU
This 29700-nucleotide long non-coding RNA is filed under the name Ananas comosus (pineapple). Its description in RNAcentral is "long non-coding RNA (ACOM_LNC031117)". Lineage: Eukaryota; Viridiplantae; Streptophyta; Magnoliopsida; Poales; Bromeliaceae. The record is from RNAcentral.